This 513-nucleotide ribosomal RNA is filed under the name uncultured bacterium. RNAcentral's name for it is "bacterial SSU rRNA". It matches the Rfam family "Bacterial small subunit ribosomal RNA", at positions 29 to 518 of the family's 1533-position model. The record is from RNAcentral.
AACGAACGCUGGCGGCGUGCUUAACACAUGCAAGUCGAACGCGAAAGGGACUUCGGUCCUGAGUAAAGUGGCGCACGGGUGAGUAACGCGUAGAUAACCUGUCUUCAUGUCUGGAAUAAUACGCCGAAAGGGGUACUAAUACCGGAUAUUCUUGCUUUUCAUAAGUUAUGCAAGCAAAGGUGGCCUCUGCAUAUGCUACUGCAUGAAGAGGGGUCUGCGUACCAUUAGCUAGUAGGUGGGGUAAUGGCCUACCUAGGCGACGAUGGUUAGCGGGUCUGAGAGGAUGAUCCGCCACACUGGCACUGGAACACGGGCCAGACUCCUACGGGAGGCAGCAGUGAGGAAUAUUGCGCAAUGGGGGAAACCCUGACGCAGCGACGCCGCGUGAGUGAGGGAAAAGGCCUUCGGGUCGUAAAGCUCUGUCAAGAGGAAAGAAGUGUACAAUGGCUAAUACCUGUUGUAUUUGACGGUACCUCUAAAGGAAGCACCGGCUAACUCCGUGCCAGCAGCUGC